AGUGAACGCUGGCGGUAGGCCUAACACAUGCAAGUCGAACGGCAGCACAGUAAGAGCUUGCUCUUACGGGUGGCGAGUGGCGGACGGGUGAGGAAUACAUCGGAAUCUACUUUUUCGUGGGGGAUAACGUAGGAAAACUUACGCUAAUACCGCAUACGACCUACGGGUGAAAGCAGGGGAUCUUCGGACCUUGCGCGAUUGAAUGAGCCGAUGUCGGAUUAGCUAGUUGGCGGGGUAAAGGCCCACCAAGGCGACGAUCCGUAGCUGGUCUGAGAGGAUGAUCAGCCACACUGGAACUGAGACACGGUCCAGACUCCUACGGGAGGCAGCAGUGGGGAAUAUUGGACAAAGGGCGCAAGCCUGAUCCAGCCAUACCGCGUGGGUGAAGAAGGCCUUCGGGUUGUAAAGCCCUUUUGUUGGGAAAGAAAAGCAGCAGGUUAAUACCCCGCUGUUCUGACGGUACCCAAAGAAUAAGCACCGGCUAACUUCGUG
RNAcentral lists this ribosomal RNA (492 nucleotides) under uncultured bacterium. RNAcentral's name for it is "partial 16S ribosomal RNA". It matches the Rfam family "Bacterial small subunit ribosomal RNA", at positions 29 to 507 of the family's 1533-position model. The record is from RNAcentral.